GUGUUCUGUCAGAGUUAAGAUUUCUGUUAGUUAUAGCACCUCCUGGUGGCCGUUCUUGAUAAUUUCCUUAGCUGAUCACCUGUUCAUGUCAUGUGACUAGAGUCAGGAAGUGUUUUCUUCCGGCACACAUAGGAGUGGAUGGAAAUGAGUUAGCAGACAAGUAUGCAAAAAGAGGGGCUGCUAAAGAUGUAGUUGACUUUCCUGUGAAGUAUAGUAGAUCUGAAGUUACAACAAUAGUAAAAGAACGAAUGAAGAGGAAAUGGCAGAGACAAUGGGAUACUUGCUUGAAAGGUCGCUUCUAUUACUCAAGUCAAAGAAGUGUAGAGGGGAAUUUAGGAGAACAGGGCUGUUUAGGCCGGAAAGAGGAGGAUGUCUUGUCGGGCAUACAGGGCUGAAUAGCACUCUGAGAAAUAUUGGAAAACAUAAUACAGGGGAAUGUGAAUGCUGUAGAGUGGAGGAGACUGUUGAGCAUGUAUUGAUCUAUUGCCCCAAGUUUCAGCAGCAGAGAAGAAUAUUUAAGAGAAAAGUAAAAUCAAAUUCGAGGUCAGGGAAAUAUUGAGAAAUUUAUCAUUGAAACAUGUUGCUAAAGCAUUGCUUAUAUUUCUGGAAAGAACAGGUUUAAGAGAGAGGGUUUAAGGACUGCUAGGGCCUUCCUGCCCCACACUCCAUUCCAGAAGGUGGCGGUAAUGCACCUAAAAGUUGCGUGCCAACUGCCAUUAAACAAAAAGAAGAAGAAGUGUUUUGCCUCAGAGAGGAGAAUGUGGUCAGUAAGACAAGCUGAUGUUAUCUGCAUCCAUCUGCUCCAGCGUUUGAUUUUGUGGCAGCAUCGCCAUUUCACCCUUUUUUAGCCAAUAAACCUGUGGACAAACUUGGAUACGGUCUAUGGCAUCAUGGUGAAAAGAAAGUGUUUAGCUGACUGUUUAUGCAUCUUGAGUGCAGAGAAGACAGUACAGUGAAAUGGCAGCUGCGACGCAGACCGGAUAACGCAACGCAUACCAGAUGCAAACACCUCAGUCACACCACAGCCCUGACAAAACAGCCUUAUCGCUAUGGACGAUGGAUGAAGAGAAGACGUCCUCAUGGGGCUCCACCAGAGUUUCUACAGUGACUGCCGCGGCCAUGGCCAGAGCUAAAGUAGAGGCUGCCAAAGCACGCUUAUCCUUUGCAGAGAAAGAGAUGAAAAUGAAGCUGGAAAAGGCACGUUUAGAGGCAUCCAUUGAUAUGCUAAAACUAGAAAAGGAAGCAGCGGUUGCUACAGCAGAAGCAGUAGCAUUGGAGUCAGCUGCUGAUGCUCACAGCGAAUGUCAUAGUCUUCAACUUCAUGUACCUCCCUUUGAUCCAGCACAGCGCACGAGAGAAUACGUGGCUGAGCAGGCUAAGGAGCAUGAUAUCACAGAGUCAGCGCCAGACGCAUGUGCGUUCUCUACCCACGAAGAGGGUUUCAUGGAACCACAGCCUCCAUGUUCCUUUCAAACUCAUCUCAACGUAGAGAGUAACCGUUCUUCAGCUGAUGCCAACCAAGCCAUUGACCCCAAGCCUCAAACGUCCUACAGAAACACAGCUCAGAAGUCACACCAUGCUUCAGAUGCUCCAGACCCUUUCAGAAAAGAUCUAAGCGGCUUUGAAGGAAAGGGACCAGCAUUAAACAAGCCAAGGGUUUCACAAUCCCCUUAUUCCAGGCAUGACAACUCAGCUACUGAUUUUGCAAAGCACUUCACUUGAAGAGAGCUUGUCACUACUGGCUUGCUGAAAUUCAAUGACCUAGCAGAAAGUUAUAGAGCUUGGCGACGAACCUUUCUAAAUGCCAUUGCAGGCUUAGAUCUGACUGCUAGUGAAGAAAUAGACCUUCUAGUCAAAUGGUUGGGAAGAGAAUCAACUCUGCAUGCUGAACGAAUAAGGGUGGUCCAUAUUAAUGACCCGCUCAGAGGGCUACAGAUGAUCUGGGACAGAUUGGAUGAAUGCUAUGGUGUGCCAGAAGUAGUCGAGGCUGCUCUUUAUCGGCGCAUAGACAAUAUCCCCAGACUAUCAAACAAAGACUACUCAAAGCUUCGCAAGUUCAGUGAUCUCUUAAUGGAGCUAGAGUCAGUAAAGCUGGAGGGAGAUCUUCCAGGUCUCUCUUGUCUUGAUAUGGCACGUGUGUUAACCCUAUAGUCCAGAAAUUGCCAUACAGCCUACAGGAAAAGUGGCUCUCUGUUGGAUCCAGCUACAAGCAGCAAUAUCGGGUGUCCUUUCCUCCCUUUGCUGUGUUUGUUGAUUUCAUCAGCACUCAGGCGAGGAUCAGGAAUGAUCCAAGCUUCAAUCUUUCUGGUCAGGCUGAUGCUCACCUAAAAAUGGACAAGAUUCCAUGGAGGACUAACAGACAGAGAGAAAUCUCGGUUCAUAAAACAGAUGUAUCUUCUGAAGGCCAACUUGUUUUGGAUGAGCAUCCUAAGAACAUUGAAGAUCCUAAGAAACAGUGCCCUAUACACAAAAGGCCCCACUCAUUAGCAAAUGUCGUGCCUUCAGAGAGAAACCACUCGAUGAACGCAAAGCAUUCUUAAAAGAGAAUGGAAUAUGUUUUAAACGUUGCUCAUCCACAUCACACAUGGCCAGAACCUGCAAAAUGAGUGUAACUUGCUCUGAGUGCCAAAGUGAGAAACAUGUCUCCGCCCUCCACCCAGGAACACCACCCUGGUCCAAAGGCCAAGGCCCCUCCCCAGACCAUGGCAGGGAGGAAGACUCAAAGACAAGUUCAGAGUUUCACCCUUUUUUAGCCAAUAAACCUGUGGACAAACUUGGAUACGGUCUAUGGAGUCAUGGUGAAAAGAAGGUGCUUAGCUGACCGUUUAUGCAUCUUGAGUGCAGAGAAGACAGUACAGACGGUUAAGCGACAUUCUAAUUAUUAAUGUGUUGUUGCACAGCUAUUUGUUUAAUGACAAACUGUAAAUCACAGACUAUUUAGAUAGCAGAGUCUCGUGUUGAACAGGAAAAAGUGAAGGCAGUAAGUUUACUACAUUUUGAAAACAGAACCUCUGUUCAUAGGAGCCUCAUAUAUUGAGGUGUGUGACUCCAUUUGCAUGUUUAUUAGAGGAUGCAAAUAAGUGAAUAGAUAUACGGUAUCAUUGUUUAUCAUAGGCAUUUUUUCUGAAGUUUGAUGGAGAGCUAAAACUAAGUCACACAUUGUAAUACUUUUCUGCUACAAUGUAAAUGAGAAGAAUAAACUCCCACAACAUGAUCAAAGUAGUACUGGCAUGACAGCUAAAUAUAACAUUUCAAUUGCAGCACAGACAAGAUGGAGAAUAAAAUUCUCUCACUUAAUUUUGAACUGACUGCAGCCUUUAUUUCUUCAAGUGCUAAAAAAUAUAUAACUGGAACAGAAAAUAUUUCCGGUAUUACUUUGAAAUGAGCCUCUGUUGUUGAUGCUGACACUGUGAAGUCUUUCUGCAUCAUAGGUGUACCUGAUACUUGGUGUUCAGACUGCUUUAAGAUGAGUCAUACACGUUACAUUUUCGAUUUGCAUCUGCUGUUCAUUCACAAAAUAAUCACAUCACAAAAAACUAGACAUGUCACGUGCUGGCAUAUGAACCCAAGCAGCAGGCACAAACGAGUGGGUGAGAUUAACCCUUUAAGUCCCCCCAUUGUACAUGUCCGCCAGGACAUAUUUUUACAUUUUUACAUGCUGUAGUGUCAUUUUUUGGACUAUUUUUAUUUGCUUUACAUCAGAAUAACCCUUACAUCCCA
This is a long non-coding RNA of Acanthochromis polyacanthus (spiny chromis), 3720 nucleotides long. RefSeq lists it as uncharacterized. Lineage: Eukaryota; Metazoa; Chordata; Actinopteri; Pomacentridae. The record is from RefSeq and is a predicted model, not a curated record. The transcript has 3 exons.